Molecule: ribosomal RNA, 305 nt
Filed under: uncultured bacterium
Lineage: Bacteria
Description: bacterial SSU rRNA
Rfam family: Bacterial small subunit ribosomal RNA
Source: RNAcentral
GCCUACGGGACGCAGCAGUGGGGAAUAUUGGGCAAUGGGGGAAACCCUGACCCAGCGACGCCGCGUGAGGGAAGAAGGUUUUCGGAUUGUAAACCUCUGUCCUUGGUGACGAUAAUGACGGUAGCCAAGGAGGAAGCCACGGCUAACUACGUGCCAGCAGCCGCGGUAAUACGUAGGUGGCAAGCGUUAUCCGGAUUUACUGGGUGUAAAGGGCGUGUAGGCGGGACUGCAAGUCCGAUGUGAAAAUUAUGGGCUCAACCCAUAACCUGCAUUUGAAACUGUAGUUCUUGAGUGAUGGAGAGGCG